GGAAGGAGACAGAGCAGUGCAGCUGCCUUUACAUGGAUAUAAAGGACAAGGGGAGCCCCGGAGCCUUUAAACAUAGGGCAGAGAUGGAGAAGAGCAACGCCCUGAGAAGUCACAAUUCUCUUUCCACUCUACCUACCCUCCCAUUGAGCCCAGACUCCCUCUCCCUGUCCCCCAACUCCCAACAUGGGGGCCAUUCCCAGGGCCCUCCCCAGCUGCCCUCCCUUCCCACACUUCAACCAGCUCCCUCCCCUGGAAAGAGCCCAAGAGGAGGACCCAGCUGCAGCUCCAGAUGUGGAUGAUACUCUCUGGGGGAAGGGGGGAAGGGGAGUCAGACGCCAAGCCUCUUGCAUCACUCUCCAAUGAUGAUGAAACUAUGCCAGAGAUUUUGGCAAGGGUGUGGGUUAGGGUCUGAGGAUGUAUCUGUUGGUACCAUCCUCUCUCCCUUCCCUCCCCCACUCACCCCCACAGAUAACAGCUCCGUCCAGUAGUCCAGAUCACUCUGGUUUUAAUGAGUCAAACCCAAACAAUGAUAAUUUCAAGGGCAAAUCAACACCCCUCCCCCCAACCUGAUUCAAAACAGGGCACCACGGGCAGUGGCCCAAUGGUGGAGGAGGAGAGGGAGGGGAUGCUGGUGGGAUCCUGCACCUUUUAUUAGCAUUUGAACCUAGAGGAAGCUCUCUCUGGGCCAGUAGGUCACCCUUCCCCGAGCCGUAGGCCUGCAGAGUGUUGAGUCAGAUCCUGGACAUUCUCUCCCCAUCUUCCAACCAAAAUAAGAGAUGGGGAGGUGGCUAACAGUUAUGGACCAUCCAUGAGAACCAGGGCCAAAAGCAGGAAGAGCAGGUGUGGGAAAUUCUCAAUGUCACAGAACCUUUGUGGAGUUGAAAAGAACGCUCAGAUCAUCGAGUUCUACAGUUUCAUUUUCAGGUGAAGACACGGAAGCCCAGACGGGUAAAGAGACUCGUCGACAGUUGAACAAUAAACUAGUGAGCAGGGACCAACGGUGUGGUCCUCAUGGGUCCAGAGCAGGGCGGUUUCCACAGCAGCAUGGAAGGACCCAGAAGCUAAACAUCCAAGCCUGGGCCCUGUGUGAGUUUCUGGCUUGGAUGAAAGUGAAGACUGUACCAGAUAACAAGAGACAGGUGGAAGCUGAAGUGUGGUGUUCCAAGUCAGAGAUCUGGGUUGAGAUUCCCACCCUGCCACGCGCUAGCUACGUAACCCUGGGCAAGUUAUGUAACUACCUCAGGAGUCCAUUCCCUCACCUCCGAAAGAGGAUAAUCACACUCCCCUCAUCGCAGGACCAGGAUGAGGUUAAAGGCAGUAACCUGGGCCAAGCACCCAGUAUAAUGCUCAGCACAAAAUAGAUAGUAAUUUCCUUCACAUUUCCCGUGGAUUCUCUGUCCCUUCUGCAAUGGGCCUCUGCCCUCUAACUGGACAGAAGGGCACAUCUGUCAUAAAGAAAUCUGCAGGAUA
Long non-coding RNA from Neofelis nebulosa (Clouded leopard), 1470 nucleotides. RefSeq lists it as uncharacterized. NCBI's taxonomy places the organism in Eukaryota, Metazoa, Chordata, Mammalia, Carnivora, Felidae. The transcript has 2 exons. The record is from RefSeq and is a predicted model, not a curated record.